RNAcentral lists this unclassified non-coding RNA (1847 nucleotides) under Lytechinus variegatus (green sea urchin). RNAcentral's name for it is "zinc finger protein 883-like, transcript variant X5". Lineage: Eukaryota; Metazoa; Echinodermata; Echinoidea; Temnopleuroida; Toxopneustidae. The record is from RNAcentral.
AAUUGAUGAAAACUUUCUAACCUUUUUAAUUAUUGCACGAGAAGACGAGGGAGAGAAUGAUUGUUUCCUGUUUCAAGUAAUUCAUAGCGUCACUUUUGGUAUCUCUGGCAAGGUUUCCAUCUCUUGCUGACAGGUCAUCAGCAAUUCUUACAGGAUACAAAGAGGUUACAUCCCAGCUAUUGCAUUGCAUCUAAAGCAUCCUGGUCAUGGGUUCUUUACAAGGAUCUAAGUAAAUAUUCGACUAGAGUCAAAAAGACUGGUGGUAUGUCAACAAUGAUGCAGGAAUCAUGUCUUGAGCUAUCUUGUCAGACAAUAAUAGGCCCACAAUGCUUGGAUAAUGGGAUCACACACAACAUUGAGACUCUGGAAGCAUCUGGAUAUCAGCAGAACAAAAAUUACGGCAGAUGCAUUAAAGAGGAGAGAAUAGAUGAAGGACAUACUAGUAGUGCCCUUGGCGGAAACAGUGGAUCAAGUGAAUGUGAGAUGACAGAAUCUACAGGAACUGCGUGUUCACACUGUAAGAAAAUAGAUGGGACAAGCAUUAAAGAGGAGAGAAUAGAUGAAGGAGAUAGUGCGCUCGAUGGAAACAGUGAAUGUGAGAUGAUAGAAUCUACAGGAACUGUGUGUUCACACUCAUCUGGAUCUCAGCAGAACAAAAAUUACGGCAGAUGCAUUAAAGAGGAGAGAAAAGAUGAAGGAGAUACUGCCCUUGAUGGAAACGGUGGAUCUUGUAAAUGUGAGAUGACAGAAUCUUCAGGAACUGUGUGUUCACACUAUAAGAAACUAGAUGGGACGAGCAUUAAAGAGGAGAGAAUAGAUGAAGGAGAUACAUGUAGUGCCCUUGGUGGAAACAGUGGAUCAUGUGAAUGUGAGAUGACAGAAUGUACAGGAACUGUGCGUUCACACUGUAAGAAAAUAGAUGGGACAAGCGUCAAAGAGGAGAGAACAGAUGGAGGAGAUAGUGUCCCUGAUGGAAACAAUGGAUCAAGUGAAUAUACUGAAGGCACUAUUACGAGUCAAUGCCAGAGAUUCUCCCCCGACAGGACAGUGUUUUCGUCUGGUCUGCUUCUUGAUUGGAGGAGGAAAACCAACGUGGAUUCAACGCUAACUUUGAAAUGCCACGGCGAAUAGUUCGGGCUACUGCAUUAAGAAGAAGGGCUCUAGAGUUCUGGAGGCAAGAUGGAUGAGAAUGGUCCAGCUGAGAAUACAUUACAAGGAGAUAUAAAACUGACCUUUAUGAAUGAGGAUAGUUUGAUUCUCAUGCAAUUUGAGAUUGAGGACAGGGACACGGAAUGGAGUGCAACGGCCAAAGAAUCUCUCGUUAAGAAUGAGGGGACAUUUAGUGACAACUCUAUUGCUCUCAUGGAGAAGGAUGGAGCUGCUCAAGGACGCAGUCGAAAAUCUGAAGACGACAAAAGUUCUUUUAGUACUGCUCUUUAUGUUUUCCGGAAAGAUGAGACUAGUCUCCUGCCGAAUGAAGAUAUAGGAUGCUUUGAUGAACUGAGAGUAGAAAAUGAAGAGGUUGUUUUGACUGGAUCGAGUGAUCGUGAGAGGGCAGACUACACAGGGUCUAUGUGUUCAUCCAUUGAGCAUGAAACAACUGCUUCCAUGGGAGGAACAACUCUUCAAUGUUUAUUGUGUGAUUGCUCGUUUGCUGAUGAGUUCCAGCUGACAGAACAUCUCCAACGUUCUCACAUCGAUGUAGAGUCAGAAGAUACCAUGAUUCACCGUUCACACUGUCAAAAAUCAUUUCUAUCCAAUACCGACUUUGUGCAACACGAGCUUGAACGCACAGGAGGGAAGCCGUUUGAAUUUAGUUAUGCUAGUGAGCAUCGUUCGGAUGGGCA